CCUCUCUGUGCCCACCACCCCCAGGCUGAGAGUCCCCAAAGCCAAGCACCACUGUAGUCCCCCCACUCAGCGAUGACCGCCCCAACCCCCACUCCACCUGCCAGGCCUACCUUGGCUCUCCUUCCUCUCCAUGGCUGUCAUCUUCCUCCUCGCUGCCGCUGUACUCAUAUUCUGUCUCCUCUGCAGGGGGAGGCCACUGCAGUUAUCUCACCCAGCGCCCCAGACCCGCCGUGGGCUAGGGAAACCUUGGGUGGGGAUAACCAGGUCUCUCUGGCUGGGCAAGCAUGAGGGGCCCCACCCACUUCCUGGGGGCAAUGGGAG
RNAcentral lists this long non-coding RNA (321 nucleotides) under Homo sapiens (human). RNAcentral describes it as "non-protein coding lnc-CHRNE-2:1". The record is from RNAcentral. Lineage: Eukaryota; Metazoa; Chordata; Mammalia; Primates; Hominidae.